UUGAAUUGAUGGAUGAAAAUGGAAGUCCGAUGUUGGUUAUCUGGGGACCCUGUGCGCUGGAGGGAGGGAUGGAUGGACGGAGAGAGAAGAAGAGAGAUGUGUUUUACAGAGCAAUCUAUUCUGCUAGUGUUGGGGGUUAAUGACUAUUGCCAAAGAUAAGUGAAUUAUCAAAGCUGUUGCUCUUGCCUCGACUCAAAAUCCAUCACAUUGCAUCGUCGCCUAAUUAAAUACAAGAAAGAAAGUCCUACUGGUUUGGAACAACAUGAAGGUGAGCAAAUUAUUACAUAAUUCACAUUUUUAUUUGAAUGAUCCCUUUAAGCAUAAAGUGAACAUGGAAGUAAUUGUUUUUAACCAUUAUAACCAUUGCUGUGUUCACAGUGGAAUGUUAACAUCAGGCAGUUGUGACAACGUUGAUAAUUUUCAAUUUAUUGAUUGAUUCUAUAUUUAUUUAUAUAUGUACUGUACUGUAUAUCUAAUAUUUAUUCAUUCAUAGCAGGGACUAAUAGCACAAAGAAAAAAAAACAAUUUAAUUUAAAAGCGAAUAGAACUAAUUUUUGGUUAUAUGUGUGAGUUUUCAUCCUAAAUGCGAUAUAUAAAACACUGCAUGCUCAGUUUGAUUAGUGGAUUCUGACAGUUCAAACACUGCAAACGCUCCUUAGUAAACACUUGUUUACUUGCAGAUUUAAAAAAGCAAUUGUUUUAUUCCCACGUAAAUUUGUUGGUGUUUUGCUUUAUUGCAUGUUAUUGUCACAACUUAUGAGACAAACCAUGACGCAAUGUGACUGGUAAAUGUAGUCCACGAUAUAUUCGGAAAGUCAUGCUAUUUCCUGAGACCACAUCACCCAAACACUCCACAUGACAGAGUCAAAAAGGUCAACCCUAUGAAAUGAAAACUACGGAGGAAAGAAAUUGAAAAAGUGAGAAAUGACAACUCGUACCACGAAGCGGGACUGUUAGUGACUGCCUUGCUGUAUCAAAAUGAAAUUCCCCAGCUGCCAGCUCUAAUAGGGAGGGUCAACAGGUCAAAGUUCGCGCAGCCCCUUAUUGCUGUGUUACGCUGCAGUUUCAAUUCCCAGUGGCACUGUCGUAAGAGUGGAGGCACACACUCGCUUAGAGACGUGUCUUACACUCACGUAAUGGCAGGUCAGAUUGUGUCAUGGUGCAUUAUUAGCCCAUCCAUUAUUAAUUAUUUAACCUUAAUAUAGAUAUAAGUUUUGAUAGUUACAUUAAGGCACUUUUUUGAUAUCACUGAAUAUACAAAUUGCAUAUCAAGCCUGAAUUGUUUCAGUAUUCUUUCUCUGAUAUACCUGUACAUCAUUGCACACCCAAAAGGGCCAUUUUUCAUUUUUCAUUCAAAAUCUAUCCACAGAUAAAGGGGUGCACUAGAUGGUACAGGAUUGGCUUUGUCUAAACAGGCUGCUGCAAUGACAAGUCCCACAGCUGUAGAGAUGGCAAGGCAGUCUGAUUGAGUGUGUGCGUGUGUGUGUCUUUAAUGCCAUGGGGAUAACUCCAUCUUCAGUGGUUUCAACUGUAUCUCUGCCCCAAACAGAUUUGCAGUUACAUUCUAAAGAUGCUCGACACCACCCACGUGCAUAACUGAACCUUUAAUCAUGCAGAGGAAGCAAACAAACAGCCUCUUUAAUGAUAUUCCUCAAAAGAUGGAGAUGAAAACAGCUGCUGGAUUUAUUUAUUUCCUACAAGCAGCAUUUUAUGCAUUUUUAAGUGUAACACAAAACAUCAGACUUGGAUUCCUCGAAAUUGCCAUGCGGCCUCUUUCGGGACAUAUUACACUCAGAAAUGUAAAAGGAUCUUAGCAUAGUGUCACUCUAAACUCAGAAUAUUUUUUAAAAACGUGUUGGAAAAAAUAUACAGUGGGGUCCAAACACCUGAGACCUCUUAUCAAAAUGCUUCUAUUUGCCAUUUUUGUAAUUAAAUGCAAAUGGUUUUGUACAAUAGGCAUAAUAAUUUACAGUAAGCGAAAAGUUGAACAUGCAUUUCAGAAUUUCAUAUGUACUUUAAUGAGAAAGCAUUCGAGCUGGCAUGGACUUCAAAGUUUAUGCGAAACCAGAUGAUCUAUGUUUUUCAGUGUUUAAAAAUGAAAGAGCGUCUUGUGUGCUUCAAUGAAAGUAAGGGACUCUUAAAUUUUGCACAGAGGAAAUAGCAUGGUCAAUGUCAAUGUAAAAAAAAAAAAAAAAAAUAUGUAUGUAUAUACAUAUAUAUAAUGAAUUUACAUUUUUUAAGAAUAUUCAGAAAACAAUGCCAGUCUGUUAGAUUAAAAUCUUGAUUUUUUAAGCACAUAAAAUGUUGACUAUUGUGUGACUUUAGCGUGCUGUAAUAUUCAACAUGCAAUUUUCCUUCCCAACUGUUGUUGUGUUAAAGUUCAG
This is an RNA transcript of Myxocyprinus asiaticus (Chinese sucker), 2384 nucleotides long. RefSeq lists it as uncharacterized. NCBI's taxonomy places the organism in Eukaryota, Metazoa, Chordata, Actinopteri, Cypriniformes, Catostomidae. The transcript has 2 exons. The record is from RefSeq and is a predicted model, not a curated record.